This 523-nucleotide ribosomal RNA is filed under the name uncultured bacterium. RNAcentral describes it as "bacterial SSU rRNA". It matches the Rfam family "Bacterial small subunit ribosomal RNA", at positions 8 to 518 of the family's 1533-position model. The record is from RNAcentral.
AGAGUUGAUCCUGGCUUAGAUGAACGCUGGCGGCGUGCUUAACACAUGCAAGUCGCGCGUGAAAGGACUUCGGUCCGAGUAAAGCGGCGCACGGGUGAGUAACGCGUGGAUGAUCUACCCAUGAGUUGGGAAUAACGGCUGGAAACGGUCGCUAAUACCGAAUACGCUCCGAUUUCAUCUUCGGGGGAAAGGUGGCCUCUGCUUGCAAGCUACUGCUCAUGGAUGAGUCCGCGUCCCAUUAGCUAGUUGGUGGGGUAACGGCCCACCAAGGCGACGAUGGGUAGCCGGUCUGAGAGGAUGACCGGCCACACUGGGACUGGAACACGGCCCAGACUCCUACGGGAGGCAGCAGUGGGGAAUAUUGCGCAAUGGGCGAAAGCCUGACGCAGCGACGCCGCGUGAGGGAUGAAGGUCCUCGGAUCGUAAACCUCUGUCAGGAGGGAAGAACCGCCACGGUGCUAAUCAGCCGUGGUCUGACGGUACCUCCAAAGGAAGCACCGGCUAACUCCGUGCCAGCCGCGGC